RNAcentral lists this ribosomal RNA (789 nucleotides) under uncultured Staphylococcus sp. RNAcentral's name for it is "bacterial SSU rRNA". It matches the Rfam family "Bacterial small subunit ribosomal RNA", at positions 95 to 870 of the family's 1533-position model. The record is from RNAcentral. Lineage: Bacteria; Bacillati; Bacillota; Bacilli; Caryophanales; Staphylococcaceae.
GCGGCGGACGGGUGAGUAACACGUGGAUAACCUACCUAUAAGACUGGGAUAACUUCGGGAAACCGGAGCUAAUACCGGAUAAUAUUUUGAACCGCAUGGUUCAAAAGUGAAAGACGGUCUUGCUGUCACUUAUAGAUGGAUCCGCGCUGCAUUAGCUAGUUGGUAAGGUAACGGCUUACCAAGGCAACGAUGCAUAGCCGACCUGAGAGGGUGAUCGGCCACACUGGAACUGAGACACGAUCCAGACUCCUACGGGAGGCAGCAGUAGGGAAUCUUCCGCAAUGGGCGAAAGCCUGACGGAGCAACGCCGCGUGAGUGAUGAAGGUCUUCGGAUCGUAAAACUCUGUUAUUAGGGAAGAACAUAUGUGUAAGUAACUGUGCACAUCUUGACGGUACCUAAUCAGAAAGCCACGGCUAACUACGUGCCAGCAGCCGGGGUAAUACGUAGGUGGCAAGCGUUAUCCGGAAUUAUUGGGCGUAAAGCGCGCGUAGGCGGUUUUUUAAGUCUGAUGUGAAAGCCCACGGCUCAACCGUGGAGGGUCAUUGGAAACUGGAAAACUUGAGUGCAGAAGAGGAAAGUGGAAUUCCAUGUGUAGCGGUGAAAUGCGCAGAGAUAUGGAGGAACACCAGUGGCGAAGGCGACUUUCUGGUCUGUAACUGACGCUGAUGUGCGAAAGCGUGGGGAUCAAACAGGAUUAGAUACCCUGGUAGUCCACGCCGUAAACGAUGAGUGCUAAGUGUUAGGGGGUUUCCGCCCCUUAGUGCUGCAGCUAACGCAUUAAGCACUCC